Molecule: ribosomal RNA, 785 nt
Filed under: uncultured bacterium
Lineage: Bacteria
Description: bacterial SSU rRNA
Rfam family: Bacterial small subunit ribosomal RNA
Source: RNAcentral
GCUUCUAGUUGAAAGAGAAGAUUUAUUCAAGAAUUUUGUGUAAAAUGUCGGCGAGCGGCGGACGGCUGAGUAACGCGUGGGAACGUACCCCAAAGUGAGGGAUAACGCAUCGAAAGGUGUGCUAAUACCGCAUAUGGUCUUCGGAUUAAAGCCUUCGGGCGCUUUGGGAACGGCCUGCGUAAGAUUAGAUAGUUGGUGGGGUAAUGGCCUACCAAGUCGACGAUCUUUAACUGGUUUGAGAGGAUGAUCAGUCAGACUGGAACUGAGACACGGUCCAGACUCCUACGGGAGGCAGCAGUGAGGAAUCUUCCACAAUGGGCGAAAGCCUGAUGGAGCAACGCCGCGUGCAGGAUGAAGGCCUUCGGGUUGUAAACUGCUUUUAUAAGUGAGGAUUAUGACAGUAACUUAUGAAUAAGGAUCGGCUAACUACGUGCCAGCAGCCGCGGUCAUACGUAGGAUCCGAGCGUUAUCCGGAGUGACUGGGCGUAAAGAGUUGCGUAGGUGGUUCAAUAAGCGAAUAGUGAAAGCUGGUGGCUCAACCAUUCAGAUUAUUAUUCGAACUGUUGAACUCGAGAGCAGAAGAGGUAGCUGGAAUUUCUAGUGUAGGAGUGAAAUCCGUAGAUAUUAGAAGGAACACCGAUGGCGUANGCAGGCUACUGGGCUGUUUCUGACACUGANGCACGAAAGCGUGGGGNAGCGAACCGGAUUAAAUACCCCGGGUAGUCCACGCCCUAAACGAUGGAUACUAGCUGUUUGGGGUAUCGACCCCCUGAGUAGCGAAGCUA